CGCUCAGGGAUUUUCCAGCGGCGCUUUUGACGCUGCCUUCCAUCUCCGGGCCCAGUGCUCCCCUGCCCCGCGCUGAGCUGUCUCCCACUCGCUACCGGCGAUGGGGAAGGGACAUCUGGGGAGAGGACAGGGGACGCCCUUAGUUUUUGAAGGCUGUGGAAGGACCCAUGAGUUUCACAGGUGUAACUUGAAGUUGGAAAGCGAGGGCCAAAGAACUGGUCUAUAUCUCUCCCUUUAGCCUCUUGCCACAUUUUAUACUAGAACGAUCUACAGAAGCGAUUUGAAGAGAAGGGGUGUGCCCUCAGGAGGAUGGGAUAGAGAUAAAGUGUGAACUUACAAACCUGGCAGAGAGCAGGCACCUGGGAUGCAGUGGGCUGGUGGAAGAAAGAUGGCCUCAGUACUCCCAUCGAAGUAACAGUAUGUUCCAGGAUGCAGUUGGAAAUUAGGUUGGAAUGGAUGGGAUCUAACAGGAACAGCUCUUGGAAGGAUGGGCUAUCUCAUUAGUACCUUACAACUUCCAAUGCAUUGUCACAUAUUGGAGUUGGGACCAGGGUGAGGCAAAAGAGGCCUUUAAGAGUCAUGCAAGUACACUGGCCUCUGUCCUGCCACAUGCCUUAUCUCACGUAAUACCCAUCUGACCCUUGUCUGGCUAUUUAGUUGGUUUCGGGGUGGAGAGAGCAGGGGAGGUAAGGAGCAGAGAUGGGAGAGAGGACAAGCUGGCAGAGACUCUUUCUCUAUGAAAAGCCUUGCCUGAGUCACUCCUUCCCUCA
This 770-nucleotide long non-coding RNA is filed under the name Homo sapiens (human). RNAcentral's name for it is "non-protein coding lnc-ATP6V1E2-2:1". Lineage: Eukaryota; Metazoa; Chordata; Mammalia; Primates; Hominidae. The record is from RNAcentral.